RNAcentral lists this ribosomal RNA (296 nucleotides) under uncultured bacterium. RNAcentral describes it as "partial 16S ribosomal RNA". It matches the Rfam family "Bacterial small subunit ribosomal RNA", at positions 47 to 349 of the family's 1533-position model. The record is from RNAcentral.
GGCCGCGGGAAUUCGAUUCAAACAUAACACAUGCAAGUCGAACGAAGGCUUCGGCCUUAGUGGCGCACGGGUGCGUAACGCGGGGGAAUCUGCCCUUAGGUUCGGAAUAACAGCUGGAAACGGGUGCUAAUGCCGGAUGAUGACGAAAGUCCAAAGAUUUAUCGCCGGAGGAUGAGCCCGCGUUGGAUUAGGUAGUUGGUGGGGUAAAGGCCUACCAAGCCGACGAUCCAUAGCUGGUCUGAGAGGAUGAUCAGCCACACUGGGACUGAGACACGGCCCAGACUCCUACGGGAGGC